Molecule: ribosomal RNA, 497 nt
Filed under: uncultured bacterium
Lineage: Bacteria
Description: partial 16S ribosomal RNA
Rfam family: Bacterial small subunit ribosomal RNA
Source: RNAcentral
GAUGAACGCUGGCGGCGUGCCUAAUACAUGCAAGUCGAGCGAACAGACGAGGAGCUUGCUCCUCUGACGUUAGCGGCGGACGGGUGAGUAACACGUGGAUAACCUACCUAUAAGACUGGGAUAACUUCGGGAAACCGGAGCUAAUACCGGAUAAUAUAUUGAACCGCAUGGUUCAAUAGUGAAAGACGGUUUUGCUGUCACUUAUAGAUGGAUCCGCGCCGCAUUAGCUAGUUGGUAAGGUAACGGCUUACCAAGGCAACGAUGCGUAGCCGACCUGAGAGGGUGAUCGGCCACACUGGAACUGAGACACGGUCCAGACUCCUACGGGAGGCAGCAGUAGGGAAACUUCCGCAAUGGGCGAAAGCCUGACGGAGCAACGCCGCGUGAGUGAUGAAGGUCUUCGGAUCGUAAAACUCUGUUAUUAGGGAAGAACAAAUGUGUAAGUAACUAUGCACGUCUUGACGGUACCUAAUCAGAAAGCCACGGCUAACUACGUG